RNAcentral lists this ribosomal RNA (253 nucleotides) under uncultured bacterium. Its description in RNAcentral is "partial 16S ribosomal RNA". The stretch from base 27 to 253 matches the Rfam family "Bacterial small subunit ribosomal RNA", at positions 550 to 776 of the family's 1533-position model. The record is from RNAcentral.
UACCAGCACCCCGAGUGGUCGGGACGAUUAUUGGGCCUAAAGCAUCCGUAGCCGGUUCUACAAGUCUUCCGUUAAAUCCACCUGCUUAACAGAUGGGCUGCGGAGGAUACUAUGGAGCUAGGAGGCGGGAGAGGCAAGCGGUACUUAGUGGGUAGGGGUAAAAUCCGUUGAUCCAUUGAAGAACACCAGUGGCGAAGGCGGCUCACUGGACUGGUAUUGACGCUGAGGUGCGAAAGCGUGGGGAGCAAACAGG